Unclassified non-coding RNA from Papio anubis (olive baboon), 251 nucleotides. It matches the Rfam family "Metazoan signal recognition particle RNA". Rfam says of the family: The signal recognition particle (SRP) is a universally conserved ribonucleoprotein. It is involved in the co-translational targeting of proteins to membranes. The record is from Ensembl. NCBI's taxonomy places the organism in Eukaryota, Metazoa, Chordata, Mammalia, Primates, Cercopithecidae.
GCCUGGUGUGGUAGAGUGUGCCUGUAUUCCCAGCUACUUCGGAGGCUGAGGCGGGAGGAUCACUUGACCCCAGGAGUUCUGGGCUGUAGUGCGCUCUGCCAAUCAGGUGUCUGCACUAAGUUUAGCAUCAACUUCCUGGGAGUGGGGGACCAGUUCAGGUUGGAGACUGAGCAGGUCAAAACUCCUGUGCAUCGCGCCUGUGAAUAGUCACUGCACUUCAGUCUGGGCAACAUAGUGAGACCCUGUCUCAA